Molecule: long non-coding RNA, 16661 nt
Filed under: Trifolium pratense (red clover)
Lineage: Eukaryota; Viridiplantae; Streptophyta; Magnoliopsida; Fabales; Fabaceae
Description: long non-coding RNA (TPRA_LNC011670)
Source: RNAcentral
CACAACUAAAACAACUUAAAUAAACAUUUUAGAGGUUGAAAGCCAUGUCAGAUACUUGCCUUAUUAAUAUAAAACAUAGUUUAUCCAAGAGUUGCAAUUCUAUUUGAAUUGACUUAAUUGAGCUUAUCUAUUUAUAUAUGGACUUGUCAAACUGUUUGGUAGCUAGAGUUUAUAGAAACAUCUCAUGAUAUGUUUAUAAGUUGUUCUCAACUUAUUUCUAUAAACUCUCUAGGAUAGCAUAUGAAAAUCAAUUAUAUAGAAACAAUUUGACUUUAUUUUAUAUUUUCUUAUAGAAGUAUAUAUCUAACACAUAAGUAAUUUUAUAAUCUCCUCCACUUAAGUUGUUUAUUGAAAUUUGUAUGGCUAGUGUUGAAUCUUAAGGGGUAGGUAUCCAUGGCGAAUACUUGCUUCCCAUAUUUUCUCAAUAGCAAACAUAAUGUCACCACACUCAUGAACAUUCCAUCUUUCUAAGGCAUGAAUUAUUCCAGCAAUGCGCCAAGCACUCAUUACUCUUCUUGGAAGCCAAUUCUGCACCAUAAUUAGAGAAACUCAUUGAUUAGUUUAGCUUUGUUCAAAGAAAAACAUUGAUUUGUUUCCUAACGGUUUAAAUUGAUGGAUCAUCCCAUGCCCAUAAAUAAUUGAGAUUCUUUGGCCCUAUCCAAUUAGCCUAGAUAAAAAAAUUGGUCUGGGUCGGACUAGCCUAUUGAGCUUUGCGAUGGUCAUUAUAAUUAAACAUCUCCAUGUAUGUUUUAGAAAUAAAAUAAUAGUCAAAUCUUUAAAAAUUAUUGAUAAGAAUAUAUUUAUUGAGGAGAGAUCAAAUUAGUAAUGUUACAUCGUGGAAUAACGUUUUAAGAAAUAUAAAAUUUAAAAAAUUUACUGUUGAAUGGAAUGUUUUUAUAUAUAUAUUACAGAUCAUCCAAGCAAACUUUUACACAAAUCUAAAUUAAACAUUUGAUAUGUUAUAUAUAUUGUUGCAAAUAAAGAUGAAUGGUGUUCAAAAAAAGCGUACAAGACUUUAAUUUCAUUUUAUUUUAUGAGAAGACUUAAUUUUUGUAUUAUAUCAAUAACAUGUUAAGUAACUUUAAAUUUUUGUUAAAUUUUAUAUAAAUAAUCUAUAUAAUAUAUACUUUAAUUCCAACAGUGAAUUUUGUAAAUUAUAUAUUUAAAAAAAGUUGAUAAAAAAAAUUAUUUGUUAAUUUUAUUACCUAAAACUAAUUUUAAAAAAUUGAUAAUAAAUAUUUUAAAAUUUUGAUGUUUAUAAAUUAUUUAUUUUGUUCGAUUGAAGUAAAAAUCUUGAGUUUAAAUUUUUUUUAAUGGCAAAUAUACAAUAUAUAAAUAUAAAAACGAAAUAAGUACAAGAGAAAAUUCAGAAAAAUAAAGAAGUACCAGAAAUACAUUCUAUCAAAACCUAACGAUCUCUAUGGUAAGAUAAAAAAGGCAAAUAAAAUUACAAACAAUUGAUAUUUAAUGUUAAUGUUAAGAAUGCUUUAUACUUUGUAUAGAAUCAUAUCUUUUCAAAUAGAUAAUUGUGAGAAUAUAAUAUUUUUCAAAUUACCAACCUCACAUGAGUGCAUGUUUAUGAGUGCAGGAGGAGUGAUCAUUGCUGGUGUAUAAUGGUAGAAGCAAUCUUUUCGCAUUUUCUUUGGAGGAAAAUGAGAAAAAGGUAUGAACAAUGAUCCUUCUGAUGCUUGCAUUUGCUCAUCUUCAUCCCAUUCAUCUCCAACUAACCAUAUCUGUUAGACUCAUAAUGUUACAUAUAUGAAAUAAUAAGUUGCUAAUUGAAUCAUGCAUGAUUUGAAACUACAUUUUGUUUUUUUGUUUCAUAAUUAAAUAUCAAUUAUAAGUUAUUUAUUGAAACUUGUGGCUAUAACUUAAACACACUAGUAUUUCAUAUACAACUUUUGAAAUUAUGAAUUCAUAGCUAUAGUAUAAUGUAACUUCUUUUAAGAUUUUUAUUUUAUUUUUAAGUAGUAUAGGAAGCAUGAUCAUAUACAAUUUACUUUAAAUUUUGUUCAUUCAAAUUGUCAAAUGUUGAUAAAAAGUUAUUGAAAUUAGUUAACUUUUUUUUUUUGACAAAUGAAAUUAGUUAACUUAAGAUUCUAUAGUAAUGAAUGCUUUAAAACAAUAAAUUAACCUUUCGAGUAUUGAUUGAUGAUAGAGCCAAGCAUGCAUUGGUCAUGGUCACCCUUUGUUCAAGUUCUUUCAACUCAUCCAUGUAUAAUACAGUCACCUGAUUGCAAUUUACUCUCCAUUAGAAUAAAAUUAAAUUUGAACAAAUAAGUUACGAAAAACAUUUUGGGUUAAUCGGAAUUUUGAAAAUGUAUCUAAAACAUAACAUGAAUUUUAAUGCUAGUAAUUUAUAAUUACAGCAGUGCUAUUUGGUACGAACAUCGCUUUAACAAAAGACAAGAAUCUGUGCAUCUCACGUGCAUUAAUUCAUGACAUGAUUAUAUUUUUUUUUUCAGCAUGUGACAUGAGUUUUCUAAAAUAUUAAAAUAGAUUCCAAGAAUUUGUGCAUCUCAUGUUUCGGUUGUCGCCAAUUCGUAAUAUUAGGCAUUAUUCUUAUAAUUAUAUAUUUAUUAAAGAACAUAAACCUAUGCUUUGAAGUUGUAUUAUGAGAUGGUUAUGUGAUUUCUAGAUAUAGCUUCUUGUUGCUUCUUAUAUAUAUAUCAAAAUUUGGUUUGGGUGGGUGGAAGGGUGGAAAUGGAUCCUAGUGUAGGCAUUGUAAAAAAAAAUCUCUAUUAGCUUUUAUUGCCUCACGUGGCUUCAUUGGAUUCUCCAAAAUCCAAUAUGUGCUAAGAGAAUAUUUUCUCCGUCCCAAAUUAUAAGGGAAAAAAUCUUCUUUUUUUGUCCCAAAUUAUAAGGGAAAUAUCAUUUUCAACAAUGUUUUUUUCUUUAAUUCUAUAAAAUUAAAUGUAAAUUACAUUUAAUUUUCUCUCUCUCCUCUUUUCUCAAUAAACAACGACGACUAAGAAUUGCUUUUACAUCUUCUCAUACAACUUAUUGCAAGAAAAACUCACAAAAAUAUAUUUCAAAUUAUCAUGUUUUACUUUUUCUUAAUAAGUGUGAUUUUUGUUUUUUUCCUUAUAAUUAGGGACGGAUGAAGUAUAUUAAUAUGAGAUGUGAUCGAAUUGAGGUGUUGAAGCAUAUCCGAUUUCAGUAGUUUCUAGAACUCCCUCAAGAGAAAUACUUAGUCCCUUGGGAAUGUUGUUUAGCACUUCAUAAUAUAAGAAAAAUAGAAACAUGUAUAUGCUCACAUACCUGCACAUUUUUACUGCAUAAAGCAUUAAUAAUGGCCAAAGCAAUCUUAUUAAACUUUCCUCGAAGAAGCACUUCAUUGGUUCCUUUGGGAAUGCUGUUCAGAAUAGUAGCAACAACUAAGCUACUGCCAUCCACAACUUUAAUGUUCAUGUUUGGGUGCCUUUGAAUAUAAAGUGCACAGUGUGUACUAAGCUCUUGUCUCUGCGCAAUCAUGAAAGAUUAUUUUAUUAUUUUUAAUUAACAGCAAAAUAUAUUAUUAUUAAUAGCCAAUUUCUGUACAAGACGAACAGAUGAUGGAAGAAACGGAACUACAAAAACAAAGACGCCGCAAUCAUGAAGGAUUAUAUUCCAAUCUGAAUCUUAAACAAUAUUGUGUGUAUAUAUUGUAAAUUACUUUCUAAAAUCUACAUAGAUUAUUUCACUUUUAUGAACAUUUUGAUAUACUUUUAAAAGAUCAUAACCAUAAUACUUCAUCCGUUCCACAAUGAGUGAGUCAAUUAAAAUAUGAUAGGAAUAUAAGUGAUAGGGAGCUCGAGACAAAAUAAGAAAAUUAAUAUUUUUUUAUAAAAAAUAGAAAGGGGUGAAUGAAUUUACCUGGUUUAAAAGACCUAAACUUAUCACCUUUACUCCGCUUAAAUCGGCCUUCAUUAUUGUCUCCUCAAUCAUUUUUUUUACUGUUAUGUUAUGCUUUUUUGAGAAAUACUACAAAGUAGGAAAUCAAACAUGUGAUGUUAUAUAUCCUUUAUAGGUAUAGAAAAUGAAAAAUCUAAAGUUCCAAAUUGACGUGAGAAAAAGAAAUUCAUACUUGUGUUUUAAAUCUUGGUAAAAUCCAACAUUGCACCUUGAGAUCUUUGAAGGAGUUAUUUUCUAAAACAAAGGCUUGUCCACUAAACCAAGUCAUAAGCAUAGAGAACAUUGUAAAAGGCCACAUUAAAUUUAGGUACCAUUUAGAUGUUUGUGGGUUGGAGGCUAAGGAAGCAAAACCUAAGCGUAGUUGAAAGAUGGAAUUAAAUGUUGUUAAAUGAGUUAAAUGCACUGCAUCUGGUGAUUUCUCUUGUCUAUUCAAACAAGCUUCAUAUGUAGCAUCUGAAGAUGUAUCAACCGUCCCAUAAAUGUAGUCAUAUAUAGGCAUGAAGAGUGAGUAAUUGGUCCUAAAUUUUGUAUGAUGCAACGAGUGAAACCUGUAAAAUAUAUCAAACAUUGAAUGAAAUACUAAUGAACUUAAUAAGAAAAUAUUACAAAGAGUCUCAUGAUCUUAGCUCAGUUUGAUAGGUACAUUUCCAUUAUAUAUGUAGAGGGCCGGGGUUCGAACCCCGGUCAUUCCACUUAUUCACCUCAAGGGUGGAAUUUCUAGCCACUAAACUACUUGACAAAAAAAAUUACAAAAAAAUUAUGCUUUAAUAAAAAAAUGUUAAAUAUUAAGAUUUUUCUAAUAAAUGAUAAGCUCUUAUUAAAAGUGAAAAAUCACAAAUAAUAUGUAUUGAUUUUGUUGCAAGAAUAUUAUAAAAUUUAAAUCACUGUUUUCUAAAAUUUAAAUCAUAGCAUAAGUUUUUGGUAUAUUCAGAGCUAGACUAACAUAAUAUGAGGCCUACGACGAAUAUUAAAAUGAGGCCUAAAAACAUACAAUUUUUUUGGUAAAUAAAAUGCAGAAAGAAUAACCAAAUGUGACAAAUAAUAUGUAUUAAUAUAGAAUUUUUUGGUAAGGUUAAAAAUUAAUUAAUAAAUAUUUAUUAAAAUUAAAAUUUAUUAAAUAUAAUAAAUAAAAACACUACUAUAAUAUGAACGAACAAGACAAACAUUAUUUGAAGUAAAAGGUGAUAGCCAUGGUUUCUUCCAUUUCUUGACUUACCCUUUGUUAGAAAUAUAAGAAUUCAAGCAAGAGAAAUUCUAUUAUAGGCACAACCCCAAAUCAAUAAUAUUUGGGCACACACACAUCAAAGAAAAAAAUUUAAAGAUAAAUGAUUAAGUCACAUCAAUUAUUAUCAAUCAAUUAUUUUAUCUUUAAAUUUUUUAAAAUCAUGUAUGUGUGUCUAACACAUCAUAUUUGGGGUUGUGCCCAACCAAGUCUUUCUCAGCAAGAGAAAUUUAAAGAUAAAUGAUUAAGUCACAUCAAUUAUUAUCAAUCAAUUAUUUUAUCUUUAAAUUUUUUAAAAUCAUGUAUUUGUGUCUAACACAUCAUAUUUGGGGUUGUGCCCAACCAAGUCUUUCUCUUCAAGCAAAUGCAUGCGGAAGAAUUAAAAAAGUACACUAUCAUACUAUAUUUUUUUUUUUGAAUGGCAAAUAUAUAAUAUAUAAAUAAAGAAAUGAAAACAGUACAAGAAAAAAUUCAGGAAAAUAAAGAGGUACCAAAAGUACACUCCAUCGGAACAUAACAAUAUCUCUAAGGUAAAAUACGAAAAUAAAAGGUAAAUAAAAUAAGUAUUAUGAUUACAGAUUUGAGGAACUUACGAUGGUGUGUAGGAGAGAUACUUCAAUUGGGGAAAGUAGGAGAGGAGUUUCUUAGGAAAGAACUCAAAAUUGCAAUGGCCCAUGUUGUUCAUAAAAUCAAUGUAAAAGAUAUAACCAAAAGAUGCAGCCACGGAUGAUUUUUUUACGACCAAUGUUGUCAACAAUGGGAUAAGAAAAAGCGUAAAAUAUGCCAACAUCUCAGCAAAUGGGUGAAUCACAGCUGUCAUCAACAACAUCAACAACAAAAAGUUACUUCUUCCAUGUAAUACAUUUAACCAUUUUAGGAGGAUUAAGAGAAAUAUAUAACUGAAAUAGAAAGAAUAAUAUUUUCUUUUGAAAAGAGAAAGAAUAUUUUUUUAUGACAGAUUGAAAAGAGAAAGAAUAAUAAUUUUAUUAAAGGUUAAAUUGUACUUUUAGUAAUUAAUUGUAAGUUGGUAUUGUGGUGAUUGAUCCUAGAUUUAGGGUCCGUUUGGCCAGAUUUUUUUACCGUCUAAAAGCUACUUUUAGAAUAAUGUAAAAAGUAGGAGCUUUAUAAAUAAAGUUAAAAUCAUUUGGUAAUUUUAUUUUUUUUGCAUCUUAAAGCUAAUUUUAAGUUAAAAGUUGUUUGAUAAAAUAUUUUAAUAAAACUUUGAUUUUAUUUGGAAGGAUUAAAUAAGUUAAGUUGACAUAAAUAUAUCAAUUUUUUUUAGUCUCUUUGAAAAAAUUCAGCAAAUUUUGGUUCCAAAAUACCUUCUGUCAUGAGAGAAAACAUUUUUGUGGGAGAGAUUCUUAUACUCUUUAAAAAAUAAGAAGGCUACACAUAAAUUACACCUUACAAUAGAUACUAUGAUAAAAAAAAAAAAAUUCUCUAUUAAAUAAUAAUCUCGUAAAAACAAUACAAACAAUAAAUUUAUUACUACAAACAAUUUUCUUAAUUUAUGUGAAUUAGUUAACAAAGUCCUAUAUUUAACAAACUUCUAUAUUUGGAAUGGAAUAUUAAGGUAUGUCAUUCCUACUCGUGAGGCAAAUGCUUGCGCAGAUACUCUUACUAAUAUGGGUUGUGAGCACGGUUCAGGGCUUUGGUUGUAUAUGAUCAAUGUUCUCCUAGAUUAAGCUCGUUGGUACUGGCUGAUGUAAUGAACAUUAUUGUCGUUUAGUUCUUCUUUCUCUUGGGUUUAGGCCCAUAUUGUAACAAAAAAAAAUGGAGGUAGUAUUUUUUUAUUUGUAUCUUGAAAAAUACUAUAGAGUAUCGUGAUAAAAAAUUAAAAAAUAAAACAUAAGUAGUCUAAAAUUAUUAUAAAGUGAUGAAAAAAAAAACAAAAAGAAGAAGAUAAAUGUAGAAAAUGGCUUAGCAGUGUGAGGUGUGAGCAGUAAGAGAAGAAAGGCAAAAGAAAAAAUGUGAACGAGUCACGAAUAACAUUAUAACGAAUACGAAUUUUACAAAAUUCAUCGUUGGAUUAAAAGUUUCGUGAAGUAGUUUCAAAGUAGCUAUCAACUCCUUUUGUUAAACUCCUUCUAUUCAGUUUUUUACAUAUCAAAAUAAGUUCUUUUUUCCAUUAAGUAUUUAAUUUAUAUUGUGUUUGGCCUACCUUCUACUUAAAAAUAUAAAAAAGUAGAGAAAAAAAAGGCCAAACGGUAUCUUAGUAGAGAUGACUACAGUUCAAUUCCCACAACUGUAAUUGGAAUGGGUUGAAACUAUUCGAUAUCAAAACUGACUUCGGAAUCAGAUUAGACAAUCUAAUAAACUGGAUUGUAGUAAAACAAAAUAAAUAAAAAACUUCUUUUGGUCAUUUAACGUCAAAAUAAGUUAAGGAUUACAAGAGCAAUUUAUCCUAUCAAGUAUUUGCAUAUAUAUAUAUAUAUAUAUAUAUAUAUAUAUAUAUAUAUAUAUAUAUAUAUAUAUNNNNAUGAUUUUAUAUUUUUAUAGAAUUGAACAUGAAUGAUCUAUAUGAUAUAAACUUUCAAUCCAACGGUGGAUUUUGUAAAAUUUGUAUUCGUUGAAGCGUUAUUGAGCGGUGUAACAUUACUCAAUUGUUACACCGGUGUAAUUUUUUAUGGAAAUAUAUGAAGUCAACACAUUGAAAAUUGAAAUAUUUCACUUUUUGAAUAAAUCUUUUUUUUAAAUAUAAUGCUUAAAGAGUACCUAGAGACAUUCGUUCGAAAGACUGAUUAAUUAAAUAAAGGAGAAUGUUAACUUGUGCCCUUAAGGCACAUGUUAAGGAAGCAAAAAUAGAAAUUAUUAAAUGCUAAUUUGUGCAUUUUGACUUUUGAAGCAUUAAAUUUCUUGUACAAUUAAAUGUUGAAUUUCUAUUUUGGUAUAUCUUAACAUAUGCCCUAAGGGCACAUGUUAACAAGACCCUUAAAUAAAUAUAAGGUUUGACAAAAUUUUAUAGAGAAAAAAAAAAUCAAAAUCUAUAUGAUAAUACCAGUGAUAGGCUCUGUGACAAUUGAAGAAUGAUGAUGAGAAUGAUAUCGAGAAUAUAGAUAAUGAUGAUGAAGUGCUCUAUGUAGCCAAUAGUAUAAGAACUCCACUGGUCCAGCAUGCAAAAUAGUUGUAAGAACCACACCAUCUGUUCUCCACCAUGGUAAGUUUGCAGCCAUAGGUAAUAUUGUGUAUAGUAUAUAAAGUACUAGUGCAGUGAGCAAUAUUUGAUCAUCCCUGCAAAUGUGACACACUCAAGGUCUUAACAAUAAGAUCCAAUUUUUAAAAUAAAUUAAUAUUUAAAUUUUAUCAAUUAAUUGGAUCGGAUUCAUCUUAAGUGAACAACUCAUAUUUUAUAGAGUCAUGUGAGUAAUAUUUGUAAAUGAUAAAUAAAUUAAUACUUGAUAUUAUAUGUAUAUCUGUAAAAUUCAUAGAUAUAUUAAAAAUAUCGAUUAUUGAUUUUUUUUGUACUUUAACAAUUGCUCGAUCACUUAGAUGAGUAAAAUUCCAAUUAAUCAUCGAUUUAUAUUUCCUUCAGUCAUGAUCAUAAAAAAUGAUUAUUUUUUAGAUUCACCGUAAAAUUAAUGUGUUUGGACAAAAUUAUAGUCUAAAUACAUCAAAUUUAUAAUGAAUUUAAAAAAAUAAAUAUUUUCAUAUAUAAUAUAAGGACCAAAGAGAAUAACAAAGACAAAUUUUAUGAACCAGUUGCUUUCUCUGUCGACUUGUUCGAAUUCGAGGCCUUUGUCAACAAUUCUGUUUUUGCCUCUAGCAGUUUGGUAGCGUGAGAUUGAAAUCCAAAUCUGAUUGUGUAGCAUUCUCACGAAUAUGAAUGGGAAUAUGAGAAAGUAUGUUGGAUCCCGUUCAACCCAUAUGAAAGUGUAUAAGCUAUGAGCAAUCCAUGGGCUCAGAAUCACGUACUUAAUAUAUAGAAGACAAAGACAGAAAAUAAUAUGUUAGUUAUAGAAACGAUUAAAAAAAUAUAUUUAACAAAACUAUUGAGGAAAUAUGAAAUAAAAUAUAGGGUAUCAUUUGAAGGAGGAUAAUAUUUGUAUGCUAGUUGUAACCAAAAAUAUAUUUGUAUGCUAGUUUGUCAAAAAAAAGUAAAAUGAUACUGCAGGAAAACAACAACUAUAUAUGUAUUGAAAAACAACAACUAUAACACCUAUGAUACUGCAGGAAAAUACUAGUAGAGAAUAAGAUAAAUACAAUAUCAUUUUUAGAGAUAAAAAGAGGGAGAGAGAUUAUUGUAAAUGAUAAUAAAUUAAAAGAACCUUGAAGCUUCCGAGAGGUUUCCAAGGCCAGUUUGUAAGGAUGCCCGGUUUAGAAGCCAUAUCUUAUUGUUAUGAGAUUGUAGCAUUUGGAAGCUAUAUAUAUAGUGCUUCACUUGGCAAAUUCUUCAUCUAUAGGUGCGUUUGAUCUGCUAAAAAAAGAAAGUGGACAAUUUUUGUUGUACUCUGUUUGAUUUGAAACUGGUUAUAAGGCUGAACAAAUUAGCCAAUUAGGUAGCAAGGAACAAGACAAACACAAUUUUUUUUGUCCCUCACUGAACUACAAAGACAAUUUUUUGUCCACAGUACAACUAUAAAAAAUACAAAAAUACUCAUUUUAGUUUCAAAUAUAAAAAUAUUAUCGUUAUAUCUCUCUUCUAUACAGUUUUAUCCUACCCUAUAUUAUCUUGUUUUGUUCUAUAUUAUUCUAUUCAAUGUUUGCUAUUUUACUAACAAAACACCCAAUAACUUAUAAGUGGUUGCUAUGAUUGACAUUCAUAAAUAUGGGCUGCUAAGAGGUGGGGUUUUAGCCUCAUCAAUAACACAGCAUAUUUCCAUAAUUUUUUUAUCAAUCACACAGUAUAUUUCAUUCAUUUUUGAAUGAUUUUUGACUUUUUAGUAUCCCUAAAGAAUUUUUUUUGUUUCACAUUGAUCUCUCAAAAAGAUAAAUUUUAAAAUUUUGGUUUCACAUUGAUCUUUAAUAAUUAAAUUUUUUGGUUUCACAUUGAUCUCUCAUAAAGAUAAAUUAAUUAUUAACUUUAAUUUUUAGAAAAAAUUGAUUUUAUAAACGAGAGAACUAAAAGUUAAUUUUUUUAUUUGAUUUUCAGUACUAGUAUUCAGCCUACUGGACUACCUAAUAUGACUGGUUUUCAGCCCAUUGAAUUUACUUACCGCCUAAUUUGGUUUUCAGACCCCUUCUAACGUUUAUGUGACAUUUUUUGUUUAUCUAGUCAACCAAAAUUUAACAGUAGAGACCAACAUUGAAAACAUAAAAAACGUGGGGAACUAAAAAUAUAAUAUAAAAAUAUAGGGGCUAUUUUUAGAAGUCCGCCAAAUUAUAAGCACUAAAAACAUAUUUAAUUUUUUUUUCAAACAUCAACCUAAAAUAAUAAGAGGCGUGUCCAACCAUUUUGGAGAUAACAUGUGCCUUAAAGGCACAUGUUAACAAGAUCAUUUUCUGCCAGUGUUAUCAUAAACAUCUUGGAAGCUCCCUCGACAAAUUUUGUUCACCAAAUAUAAGACCUUGAAAACAUAUCAAAUAUGUACAAAUGUUUAAUUAUUAUUAUUAUAAUAUAUACAUCUACAAGUUAAAUCUUUUAAAUUUUAUGUUUAUAACAUAUAGGUAGGAUGAUUGAUGGUUGUGAUGUAAAAAUUGAGGAAAAUUGAGGAAAAAAAAAUUGAGAGGAUCCAUUCUCAGGUAGGACCUAAAUGUUAUAAAUUUAUAAACUUAAAAGAUUUAUUUAUUACUUAAAAUUAAAAAAUUUAAAGGAAUUAUAUAUUACAAAUGUAAUACUUAAAUGAUCUAUUUGCUAUUUAAAAACUAUUCACCACAAGUACCUUGGAAGUGAUUAUUGGCUUUCCAUUUUGAUUUAUGCAAGGGUUAUUUUUGAAAUAAUUAUGGCUAAUAUUGCCUAAAUCAAUAUAUUUGAGAGGAUUUCUUAAUGAUGAAGAAACAUGGUAGAUGAAAUUCUUAGGAGGUUUAUGUGAAUGAAUAAAAAUGGCUGUAAUCACACAUUUGAUGACCAUGUCUGCAGGUAUCUGCAUAUUAUCAUUUCAAUGUAAUGUUAAACAACACAUAAAAAUGUAUGUGUUAAUUAAUAAAUAAGUAUGAAUUGGAAAAAGAAAAAAAAAACUGCAUUUAAAGUAAUUCUACUAAAAGGUAGGUAAACUAAUUUUUUAUAUGCAAUAAUAUAAACUGUAUCUUUAAUUGUCAAUUUGUUUACACUUUUUAGGGUAUAUUUUGUUCUUAAAAAAAUUGUGAAGGGAGAAAUAGGUAAAACCGUAAAAGAGUACAAGAAGAAAGAAAGAGAUGAGAAGUAGAGUAGAUUAAAUUUUGAAGGUAUUGUUUGUUAUAAAAGAAAUAUAAGAAAAAUAGAAGAGAGGGCAAUGUUGAUUAAAUAUGAAAGUACCAAAAUAUCUUUGACAUUGAAAACACCUUCCUAUGAAUAAUAUUUUACUAUUUAUUUGUUAAUUUUAAUUCAGAUAAUUAAAUAAAUUAUUAAAUAAAGUAAACGUAUUAUUUAACUUUUUAUUAAAUAUUUAAUUAAAUAAAAAAGUUAAAUAAAAAUCAAGGCAAUUUUUUUAUAGCGUAACAAAUUUAAAAUGCAAGGCAGUUUAAAAGAUUUAGGUAAGUGUAUCACUUUUUAUUAAACUUAUAUAUUUGACUAUAUUUUUAUUAAUAGUUUUUUAAUUAGAUGAAAAUAUUAUAUGUUUAUUUUGAUAUUAUAUUUUAAAAAAUAACAUAAUUUCAUUGACAGCAGGCCAAACCAAAGCCCAAUGGGCUAGCAUGGUCUAGCCCAAUUUCCAUGUGACCUAAAAGGGUUAAGGCCAAAAAAGGAUCGAUUGUAUUUGGGCUGCCGUUUUUUAGGCCUGACCCAUCAAAAAUAAAUGUAAUUUUCAAAAAAUAGUCUCAGCCACAAUUUUAGUCCUUGCAGUUUUUCAGCAUUAAUUUUAGUCCCUUCUAGUAUCAUUAUGAAAAAAAAAUGUAAUUUCGGCAUAAAUAAGGCCCAAGACCGAUUUGAGCAGGCCGCGGCGACGGUGCAGCCCUUGAGGCACAUACCAAGAAGCCACCUUCCAUAUAUAAAUUCCUACUAGGGCACGUGUUCUCUUUAAUGUAGGACUUAAAUGAGCCUUUCCAAUUCACACUACACACUUAAUUAAUUCAAUACUUAUAUUUAUUUCUUUAUCAAGUUUUUCUCCAAAGUACCAACUCAUUCCAACAUAUAUAACGCUUUAAUUUUUAACAAUUCUUUCAAAACCAUAUGGUAAAAAAGAAAAUCCAAAUACUACACUUACCGCAAGACACCCAAAUUUCUCUUGAGCCAAUGCUCAAAAUCAACAGAAAGCUCCUGAAAAGUCUCAAAACACCAGUCAAUUGGAGGCAAUUUUGAAGACCUUCAUGCAAGACACUCAGAAGUUUGUUGGAGAGGUGAAGAGUCAGAUCUUAUCUCAAGCAGUUAGUAUCAAAAAUCUGGAGAACCAGGUUGGGCAAAUAGCUACUACACUUAGCUCGAGACCAAGUGGAACUUUGCCUAGUACAACUGAAACCCCUACAUCCACUUCCAAUGAUAAAGGGAACGAAACUUGCAAAGUUAUCUAUGGCUUAAGAAGUGGAAGGGGGUAUGAAAGACCUAGUGUGGGAGAUAUUAUCACUCAAGCUGUUCAAGAAGAUAUUGCUGAGCCUACAACAGAAGACAACUCUGCUACUCAGCCAAAGCAGACAUUAUCUCCAGACACAACCAAGAAGAAAGGUCCUGAAUAUGAGCAGAAGUCUACUGUCGAUAAGAAUGUUGUUGACACUGAAGCUGCAUCUAGCAGCCCAGUUCUGACCAGAGAAAGGCCACAUCCACCAUUCAAGAGGAGGAAGAUUGGUGAAUUUCAAUCAGUUGCACUCACUCAAGAAUGUAGUCAAAUGGUUCAAGGAAAGAUCCCACCAAAGUUGAAAGAUCCUGGGACUUUUACUAUUCCUUGUACUAUUGGUGAUGUUCAUGUGGGGCAAGCCUUAUGUGAUCUUGAAGCAAGCAUCAACCUUAUGCCAUUAUCUGUUUUCAAAAAGCUAGGCAUUGGUGUUGCAAGGCCAACAACAGUCACACUUCAAUUAGCUGACAGAAGUAUUUGUUAUCCUCAAGGAAAGAUUGAAGAUGUGCUAGUGAUCGAGGGUUGAUAAAUUUAUCUUCCUUGCUGAUUUUAUCAUCAUGGAUUUUACUGCUAAUAUUUCAUAUCUUAUUCACAUGAACACAAUAAAAAGAAUUAUUAAAUAAAAAAUUCCUUUGUCAACUAUGAAGUCCUUCACAAAAAUUAAUGUAAAAUUAAAUAUUAUAUAUUUUAUGUUAUAGACUUGUGAGAUAUUAUGAGAGAUAUUUUGAAGUUUCACCCCCAAUUUAAUUGAAGUUUCAACUUGUUCUUGCAGCUCCUGUGAGAGAUAUUUUGGAGAUACCAAUUUAAUUUGAAGUUUGUUCUUGCAUCCGGCGACAAAAGAGAAACUAAGAUCUUACCAUUUUCAUUAAAGUCUAAAUGUUUUUCGGUAUUAAUUAUAUUUUUUUUUAGAGGUGCAUUUUCAUAUAUGAAAUUUUUUUGGGCAUAAUUUAUAAAUACGAUCAAUGUGACAAAUUCAUAAAUAGAUAAAGUAUUAUUAUUAUUAUUAUUAUUAUUAUUAUUAUUAUUAUUAUUAUUAUUAUUAUUAUUAUUAUAUCUAGUGUUAACCUGAAAUACGGGGUAAAAGAUACUCUUUCACCGUGGAAGACCUACUCCGCUCUUCCACCCUAGCCUGCGCCAUUAAUUAAUUCUGGUUUUUCUCUCACCUCCUUCGUCAUUCACCGCUACCCAAACAACAACACCCCCUUCUCUCUUCUUUCAUUUUCAUCCUUCUCUGUCAAAUUUUUAGCUGGUUUGUACGAUCUCUUUCCUUGUUUUUCUCUUAAUUGAAUUUUAUCCUUUUACCAAAACAAAUCCCACAAUGUUGUUCCUCUUACCUCUAUUCAUUGCCCCCCCUCCCUCACCCUUUUAUUUUGUUCCAUUGAUCCUUUGUCAUUGUUGUUCCUCUGUUUCAAUAAAGUUCAAAAUCACAUUUAAUUUCAUUCAAAUUUCAGCAUGCAAAGUAUUAAGAUAGCAAUAGCAUUAAGUAACUAAUUGCAUAAAGGUUAUGUUAUUGAUGAGAAAUGAGUGAUGAGUGAUUGUGCCAAUUCAUGGAAGUGGAUUUACUUGGCAAAUUUUUCCAUUGAAUUUGUUCUUAGUGUUCUUUGAGUCAUGUAGUUUUAUGCUCUGUUUCAAUCACAACAAACAAACAAUGGAGUUUUUUCCCUCUGUUAUCACGCCUUCACUCACAUAUGAAAAAAUAGAAAUUUUUUCCUUCUGAUUUUAAUACUAAAAAAGGUGGGUCUACUCUAUAAACGCAAAAAAACAAAAAAAAUCAGAAAUAGGUCCCACCACUUCUUGGAAUUUCGCGAAACCAGUUUUCGCUGUAAAUAGCAGUUAUCUUCUCAAUUAAAUCAUACUUCCUUCAUACCACAUUAUAUGUCACUUUGGAGAAGAAAUUUGUACCACAAUAUAUGCCACUUUACAUUACCAACGACAUAUAUUGUGAUAAGGAGAGAGUAAUAAGAAUGGUACAUCUUCCGUUACUUUUAGAAUGAUUUAAGAAUCAUUCAUAAUUCUAACAUGUUUUGCUAUCUAACAAGUUUUUUUAAGUGUGAUUAAGCACAUGGAUGAAUAUAUACCUCAAGAAAAAAUUGGAGAUUUUGAUUACAUAAGAUCAGAAGUACAAUGAUCAUAAUCAUGAAAUCAGAAGCAAUUGAUUAGAAUUAUAUUAUUAUUAAGGUCGGUUAGACCAAAUAAAGAAAGAGUGAAGGAUUUGGGAGGGUGGCAUUUACAAUGCACAAAUUUAACAAUUUGUGCAUGGAUGCACAACUUUAUAAAUUUGAUUCUGACUGUUAGAUUUAAUAAGGAACACAGUUUUAUUGUAGUUUAUCAACACUAGAUUGUUUCUCACACCCAAAUCAAUCUAACCCCAUCCUCUCUCUUUCCUCAUCUCAUUUCCCAUAAAAUCUGUAUCCUCACCCACUCCUCCUCUAUGCACUGUGCUUUUCUUUUCUUUCUCUUGUUUCCAGAAGAAAUUGAUUAGAAUGGAUUUAAACAACCAUUUAAAUUCAUGGAGAGAUAUUUGAGAAGCAGUUCUGGAUCUAGAAGUUAGAACUUGCAAUGGCAGGAUAUUGAAAUAUUGAAACACCUCUUCCAAAAAAAACAUUAGUUCUUCAAAAUAUGGACAGAUCUGAAAACAAUUUGAUGGAGAAGAGAGAAAGAGAUAUCAUAAUUCUUUAUUAAAGAUACCUAUAAUUUUAUUGAGUUUAAUUAAUAUGCACUGACGGUGUAAAAUAGUUUUACACCAUCGUCCAAUAAAUAACAAUCAUUUUGCCAUGUCAUGUCAAGAAAGUGAGGUGAAGUUGGGUGAUGUGGCGGAAAACAUGGUUGGUAUUGNNNNNNNNNNNNNNNNNAAUUAAAUCCAAUUUUAUUUAUCUACCAUUUUUCAAUCUUUGCAUAUUUUGACAUAAAUCAACAAAGAUACCUAUAAUUUUACUUAUCUACCCUUUUUCAAUGAGUUAAGAUCAGAAGAAGAUAAUGGUGGGUUAAUAUUAUUUAUUUAAGUUUUUUUUUUUNNNNNNNNNNNNNNNNNNNNNNNNNNNNUGUUUAAUGUGUGAGGAGCAUGAUAAGUUAUAAUGGAACUGUCAAAUCCAGCCGUUAACUUAAAGUUGUGCAUGGUGCACAAAUUUAAGAUUUGUGCAUGCUAAAUGCCACCAUUUGGGAGGUUAUCCCAAGCACUAUAGUGAAACUCUCACAAUUGUGAGGAAUAAAGUAGUCCACAUUGAAUGAAUCAUCAAUAUGAAUCUUGUGUCUUAUAUUCUAUCAUUCUCUUUACUUCACAUCUAUAGAUAUCCAUACACACGGGUACAGAUCCUCUCCCGUGAGGAUUUUCACUUGAGAGUGUCCAGUGUGAAUCCUCACCAUUCAAUGUGUUUUUUUAUUACAUCAUCAACUGAAAAAAAAAUAAUGUGUGGUCCAAAUUUCACUGUAGAAACAUUUCAUGGGAGAGGAUCCCUACCCGCAUACACACACAUAUACCAUACACUCCCGAUACUACACAAUCAUAUCUAACAAGAUUGAUUCAAUUUUUAUUUUUUUUUAACUUUAGAAACAUUUUUUAAAAAUGUCAUAAUUCAAGCCCAAUAUUACCCCCACCUUUUAGAUAAACAUUUGACACAAGGGUAAUGUUGUCAUUUCAACUUUAAAACAUCUUAUACAAGAGUUGCAAUCCUAUUUGGAUUGUCUAUUAUANNNNNNNNNNNNNNNNNNNNNUCUAUAAUAGCAUAUGAAAAUAAAUUAUAUAAAAACAAUUUGACCUUAUUUUAUAUUUUCUAAUGUAUAUAAUCUGCACUUUAUUUGUUUAUUGAAACUUGUGUGGAAUCUUGAGGGGUAGAUAUCCAUGGCGAAUACUUGCUUCCCAUAUUUUCUCAAUAUCAAACAUAAUGUCACCACACUCAUGAACAUUCCAUCUUUCUAAGGCAUGAAUU